Molecule: ribosomal RNA, 482 nt
Filed under: uncultured bacterium
Lineage: Bacteria
Description: partial 16S ribosomal RNA
Rfam family: Bacterial small subunit ribosomal RNA
Source: RNAcentral
AUUGAACGCUGGCGGCAUGCUUUACACAUGCAAGUCGAACGGUAACAGGCCGCAAGGUGCUGACGAGUGGCGAACGGGUGAGUAAUGCAUCGGAACGUGCCCAGUCGUGGGGGAUAACUACUCGAACGAGUAGCUAAUACCGCAUACGAUCUAUGGAUGAAAGCGGGGGACCGUAAGGCCUCGCGCGAUUGGAGCGGCCGAUGUCAGAUUAGGUAGUUGGUGGGGUAAAGGCUCACCAAGCCAACGAUCUGUAGCUGGUCUGAGAGGACGACCAGCCACACUGGGACUGAGACACGGCCCAGACUCCUACGGGAGGCAGCAGUGGGGAAUUUUGGACAAUGGGCGCAAGCCUGAUCCAGCAAUGCCGCGUGCAGGAAGAAGGCCUUCGGGUUGUAAACUGCUUUUGUACGGAACGAAACGGCUCUGGUUAAUACCCGGGGCUAAUGACGGCACCGUAAGAAUAAGCACCGGCUAACUACGUG